UCACACCUUCACUUCAGUAUCAUUACAGUAUGGCUUUCACAUGUCACUGCGGUGUGGAACUUACAGGAGUUAUACCCCUGUUUCAGCACCUGAGGCGGUGCGUCAAGCGCCGCCUCUUUCUUAUAAUAUAUUGUGACAAAUGUGGAGAAAGGCUGGUGGGAGGCCAGGCCGUGGCCGCACACCUGGCGGGUGCGGCCCAUCGAACCCGUUACUGGGAGGGCCGGCAAGUCGGGCUGCUGUUGCAGUCCGACUACCGGGACGCCAUGGAGCGUAUCCGGACCCUAUGAUGAUGAUGUAUGUAUGAAGGUCUGGAGCUAGCUGCCGUCUUCGGGAUGUGCCAUUUGUUUUCAAAAUUAUUUACUCAUCCAAGUCAAUUUAAAUAAAAGUGUAUUAUAGUAAA
Sycon ciliatum is the source of this 400-nucleotide long non-coding RNA. RefSeq lists it as uncharacterized. The transcript is spliced from 4 exons. NCBI's taxonomy places the organism in Eukaryota, Metazoa, Porifera, Calcarea, Leucosolenida, Sycettidae. The record is from RefSeq and is a predicted model, not a curated record.